Long non-coding RNA from Marmota marmota marmota (Alpine marmot), 1860 nucleotides. NCBI's taxonomy places the organism in Eukaryota, Metazoa, Chordata, Mammalia, Rodentia, Sciuridae. The record is from Ensembl.
AGACCCAGUGUCCCCACGAGGUCCCAUUCUGGGGUGACGGGGACCUAGAACUCGCCCAGACCCCAGUCCGGUCCUCACAGAUGUCAGACCACUUUGCAGACUCAGGGCUUCCCUCUGGGGGACGCCCAGGUCCUCGGGGUCCUGGUCAGGACUUGCAGUGGACAUGCCGUGGGGACAGACACAUGUCCACUCCCGCACGUCUGCAGCGGGGGGUCGGGGAGGCGCGACGGGGUCUGGCCCAACCCCGGGGGACCCCCCGACCGGACCCUGGCCCGGGGCUGAGGUCUGUGGUCCUCCUCGGCAGUGAAGCCCGGCUCCCCCGAGGACGUGCACUUCCGGUGGCUGCAGGAGGACGUCCUGGUGACCUGCUCCGACCUGCCCUACGGGGGCCUCCUCUACGAGGUCCAGUACAGGAGCCGCUUCGACACCGAGUGGGAGUCCAGGGAAGCGACGACGUGCAACGUGACCGUCGGAGGGUUGGACACCCAGAAGUGCUACAGCUUCCGGACCCGGGUGAAAACCACCGAGGACCAGUACGGCCCCCACGCCACCCCCAGCGACUGGUCCCAGGUGACGCACUGGCAGAGGGCGGAGCUCAGAGACUCCUGCGAGGAGGAGCCCGGUCCUCGCCGCACGCGGUUCCCCAAGUUCAUCCUCAUCUCCAGCUCGGUCACCCUCCUGACCCUGUGUCUCCUGCUGCUGUCCUUAUGGAGACUGCAGAGAGUGAAGAAGCUGCUCGUGCCCAGCGUCCCGGACCCGAAGGGCAAGUUCCCCGGCCUCUUCGAGCAGCACCAAGGGAACUUCCAGGUGCCCUCACUGCCCACUGGACAGGGGUGCCCGGCCCUGCCCUCAAAACCUAGGAGAGGGAAAACAUCAUUUCUUCCACCCUCUUAAGUUCUGUGACUGGGGUCUGCUAAUUAAAAGGGCCAGGAACUGAUGAACUAGGAAAAAAAAAAUCCUUGUUUCUUUAUAUACAUGUUGGGGGUUCCCCAGCCCCAGCGUGGGGGGGCCUGGGAGACGCCCUGCAGCGAUGGUCCUCCAUUUGCCAGAUGCGGAUGGCAGAGCACAGCGUCCCUGCCGGUGCCCAGAGAGGUUGAUUCUGCUGCGAGCUGAGUCCCGUGUCCCUUCUCGGCAGGCGUGGAUCACAGACACCCAGAACGUGGUCCCGCUGGCCAAGGCGGGAGGCCUGGAGCCGGAGACCCCCCCGGAGGAGGCCCUGGUCAUCCACCUGCUCAAGACGGAGCCCGAGGCGCCUGCCAGCCCAGGACCCGCGUGUCUGCAGACGGGGGAGGAAGAGGCCCCGGGGGGGUCCUCCCAGCUCCCUCCCCAGGCCCCCCAAGGUGGAGACAGGGUGUUUCUGGGAGACUUCGCCUUUGUGAUGAGUGACAACUCCUACAUGAUGCUGUGAGGUGGCCCCUCCAAGGCCACCAUCGGGAUCCACGCUGAUGUCCAAGGACACGAGAAAUUUCAGGACUUCACGGGAGCCCCCUGGGCCACGGGGGGCUCCAAUCUGGGGUCCCUGAGGACCACCACUCACGACGACCGAAGGGAGAGCAUAUCCACUUCCCCCGUGUCCCCCCCAAAUCCUCCCCUAUCAACUUUCCCCUCCACACAUUGUGCCUUAGACCUUUUCUCAUGCAACCCGGGCAGGGAGACGAAUCCCAUUUUUAAAAAGGCAACAGGCCACCCGCGCGUUAGGGGUGCAGCCUGGACUCCCCUAUUUGAUGGCUGACCUCCUCCCCAGGGGCCAGGUCUGGGCCACAUUGGCGACCUGCGUUGGGGAAAAUGCAUAUUAAUUGCUUUAAUUAAUUAAACGCAUAUGAAUCGCUUCCCUGGGGGCCCCUUGUGAACGGCGGUGAC